UACUGUGCUACAUGAGACUAGUGUCCUCAUC
This 31-nucleotide non-coding RNA is filed under the name Homo sapiens (human). The record is from RNAcentral. Lineage: Eukaryota; Metazoa; Chordata; Mammalia; Primates; Hominidae.